CAGUAGCCGCGGUAAUACGUAGGUGGCGAGCGUUGUCCGGAUUUAUUGGGCGUAAAGGGAGUGUAGGCGGUCUUUUAGGUCCGAUGUGAAAGCCCACGGCUCAACCGUGGAGGGUCAUUGGAAACUGGGAGACUUGAGUGCAGAAGAGGAGAGCGGAAUUCCAUGUGUGGCGGUGAAAUGCGUAGAUAUAUGGAGGAACACCAGUGGCGAAGGCGGCUCUCUGGUCUGUAACUGACGCUGAGGCUCGAAAGCGUGGGGAGCAAACAGGAUUAGAUACCCCGGUAGUCCCUGUCUCUUAUAC
Molecule: ribosomal RNA, 301 nt
Filed under: uncultured bacterium
Lineage: Bacteria
Description: partial 16S ribosomal RNA
Rfam family: Bacterial small subunit ribosomal RNA
Source: RNAcentral